GAUGAACGCUGGCGGCGUGCCUAAUACAUGCAAGUCGAGCGAACGGACGAGAAGCUUGCUUCUCUGAUGUUAGCGGCGGACGGGUGAGUAACACGUGGAUAACCUACCUAUAAGACUGGGAUAACUUCGGGAAACCGGAGCUAAUACCGGAUAAUAUUUUGAACCGCAUGGUUCAAAAGUGAAAGACGGUCUUGCUGUCACUUAUAGAUGGAUCCGCGCUGCAUUAGCUAGUUGGUAAGGUAACGGCUUACCAAGGCAACGAUGCAUAGCCGACCUGAGAGGGUGAUCCGGCACACUGGAACUGAGACACGGUCCAGACUCCUACGGGAGGCAGCAGGAGGGAAUCUUGCGCAAUGGGCGAAAGCCUGACCGAGCAACGCCGCGUGGGUGAAGAAGGUCUUCGGGUUGUAAAACUCUGUUAUUAGGGAAGAACAUAUGUGUAAGUAACUGUGCACAUCUUGACGGUACCUAAUCAGAAAGCCACGGCUAACUACGUG
RNAcentral lists this ribosomal RNA (497 nucleotides) under uncultured bacterium. RNAcentral describes it as "partial 16S ribosomal RNA". It matches the Rfam family "Bacterial small subunit ribosomal RNA", at positions 28 to 507 of the family's 1533-position model. The record is from RNAcentral.